Molecule: ribosomal RNA, 1349 nt
Filed under: metagenome
Description: bacterial LSU rRNA
Rfam family: Bacterial large subunit ribosomal RNA
Source: RNAcentral
UGAGUACGAGCUGCUACGGCAGCGAAGUGGGUGAUGUCAAGCUUCCAAGAAAAGCCCUAUACCCGUUAAGGCAUGAUGGCCUGUACCCGAAACCGACACAGGUGGGGUGGUAGAGAAUACCGAGGGGCGCGAGAUAACUCUCUCUAAGGAACUCGGCAAAAUGGCCCCGUAACUUCGGGAGAAGGGGUGCCACCGCAAGGUGGUCGCAGUGAAGAGGCCCAGGCGACUGUUUACCAAAAACACAGGUCUCCGCUAAGUCGCAAGACGAUGUAUGGGGGCUGACGCCUGCCCAGUGCCGGAAGGUUAAGGAAGCUGGUCAGCGUAAGCGAAGCUAGCGACUGAAGCCCCGGUGAACGGCGGCCGUAACGAUAACGGUCCUAAGGUAGCGAAAUUCCUUGUCGGGUAAGUUCCGACCCGCACGAAAGGCGUAACGAUCUGGGCGCUGUCUCGGAGAGAGGCUCGGCGAAAUAGAAUUGUCUGUGAAGAUGCGGACUACGUGCACCCGGACAGAAAGACCCUAUGAAGCUUUACUGUAGCUUGGUAUUGUGCUCGGGCUCGGAAUGCGCAGGAUAGGUGGGAGGCUAUGAACCAUUGCUUGUGGGUGAUGGUGAGCCACUGGUGAGAUACCACUCUUUCCGAGCUAGAGUUCUAACAGCCACCCGUUAUCCGGGGGCUGGACAGUAUCAGGUGGGCAGUUUGACUGGGGCGGUCGCCUCCUAAAAGGUAACGGAGGCGCGCAAAGGUUUGCUCAGGCUGGUUGGAAAUCAGCCGACGAGUGUAAAAGCAGAAGCAAGCUUGACUGUGAGACCUACAAGUCGAACAGGGAGGAAACUCGGCUUUAGUGAUCCGACGGUUCUGCGUGGAAGGGCCGUCGCUCAACGGAUAAAAGUUACUCUAAGGAUAACAGGCUGAUCUCCCCCAAGAGUUCACAUCGACGGGGAGGUUUGGCACCUCGAUGUCGGCUCAUCGCAACCUGGGGCUGAAGUCGGUCCCAAGGGUUGGGCUGUUCGCCCAUUAAAGCGGUACGCGAGCUGGGUUCAGAACGUCGUGAGACAGUUCGGUCCAUAUCCGGUGCAUGCGCAGGAAUAUUGAGAGGAUUUCUCCCUAGUACGAGAGGACCGGGAGGAACGCACCUCUGGUGUACCAGUUAUCGUGCCAACGGUAAACGCUGGGUAGCCAUGUGCGGAGAGGAUAACCGCUGAAAGCAUCUAAGUGGGAAGCCCACCUCAAGAUGAGUAUUCCCAUGGGGUAACCCAGUAAGGUCACGGGAAGAACACCCGUUGAUAGGCUCUACGUGGAAGCGCAGUAAUGUGUGAAGCGGAGGAGUACUAAUAGACCGAGGGCUUGAC